GUAAAUUGUCUGACCACGAGAAAAAAAUAAGGCUUCCUAUCAAAAAAUUAUUUAAAUGAGAGAUAUGUGUAACUUAUACACUGAUGAAAGGCAUUAAAUGAUGUUGCUUAUAUACCAACGAUAUUUAUAUUUUUAAGUUGUAAAUAUAUGGUGUGUACAGUCUACUGAUUCUUAAUCUAGUACUUCAAUUUCUUAUGUCUUUUUGUGAUUUAUUACAAAUUUUCUUCUUUCUCCUUUUACGUAGGGGGCCUGGGGAAUGUAUGUUAGUUGGCAAUUUAUUAGAUAUCUAUUAACGUGUAGGGGAAAUGAUAUGAGCAUUCAUCUUUCAUUAGAACUUCAACUGCUGCUUAUUUAUUUACUUAUUUUUGUUUUGGUGACCGCAGGUUCACUUCUGUAAUGAAAGGAAACGGGAAUCUGUAGCCUUGGGUGUUUGCUUGAAAAAUGAAGUGGAAAUAAAAGGUCCAUCAAAUAUUUAUGACAUGAAAACUAUUUAUAUAUGAAAAUAUUGUGACUGAUUGUCUAUCACUCGUGGUUCAUGAUUGUUUUUCCUUCAAAUACAACUUACAUACUCUUCCAUCAAAAUUAAUCGUCUACAAACCAAUAAAAAAAUGACUAAAUGGAAAAUUAUGAACAUUCAAAGCGAGAUUUAUUUUUCAUUAGCCCUGUCUUUUUUUAUUUUUAAAUUUUGUAGAUGAUUUGUUGAAUCAUCUUUGUGCCUUUUUGGCUAAGCUUGGUCACAUAUGAAUGUGUCGUUACCAUUUGGGAGUUUACCUUUGAUUGGAGUAGAGAUUGG
Molecule: long non-coding RNA, 793 nt
Filed under: Olea europaea (common olive)
Lineage: Eukaryota; Viridiplantae; Streptophyta; Magnoliopsida; Lamiales; Oleaceae
Description: long non-coding RNA (OEUR_LNC012741)
Source: RNAcentral